AGAGAUUUAAUAGUCGAACAGACUAACCCUAAAAGACUUCUACAUCCCUUGGCUCCUCUAGUCCAACAUCGAGGUCGCAAACUCUCUUUUCGAUAAGAACUCUAAAAGAAAAUUACGCUGUUAUCCCUGCGGUAGCUUUUCUUUUAAUCAAUUAUUGGAUCCUAACACAUAAGUAUUAUAUUUUAAAGGAAGUUUAUUAUAUUCCUCCGUCGCCCCAACAAAAAAUUCCCAAAAGAUAUUCUUAUAAAAUUUUAAGCUCGACAGGGUCUUCUUGUCUUUCAAUAAUAUAUAAGCCUUUUCACUUAUAAGUUAAAUUCUAAUAAUAUAUCCCGAGACAGCCGAGCCCUUGUUAAACCAUUCAUACCAGUCCUUAAUUAAAAGACAAAUGAUCAUGCUACCUUUGCACAGUCAGGAUACUGCGGCCGUUAAUUUAGUAAAAUACACCGGGCAGGCUAGACUCUAUAUAUUUACAUAGAGCC
This 479-nucleotide ribosomal RNA is filed under the name Leptonetis perplexus. RNAcentral's name for it is "partial 16S ribosomal RNA". The record is from RNAcentral. Lineage: Eukaryota; Metazoa; Mollusca; Gastropoda; Littorinimorpha; Hipponicidae.